UUGGGUUAAAAAGGAAUGUUGGGUCGGCUGGGCCGAGCCCAACCCAUUUCUUCUUCCUUUCUCUCUCUCUCCCUCCCGAUUUUUCUUCUCUUCCCACCCGAUUUUCUUCUCUCUACACCCAGCAAACUUCCGGCCGUCCUCCCGCCGCCGUCCGACCUCCGUUCACCGCCGGACCGGUCCCGUUCGGUCGGUCUCCCUCCCAGCAACAUUUCUAGACCGGUGAGAGGAGCCCUAGCGCCGCCGUGAGAGAGCGGUGCCGCUCGAAAGCAAGGGCUGCCGUAGCUCUCCUUCGCCGGAACUUCCUCCUCCGGCCACCAAUCCGGGCAAGCUUGGUAUGGUUUUGUAGCCCUCCAACCCAGCAACCUUGCCCUAAAAGGACUCACUCCCUCUUGAGCUAGGUAAGGAGAAAUUUGAAGUGGAAGUUUUAUGGUGUUUUUGAUGUUUUUAGUCGAUUGCCCUAGUUAGGCUUGGAAUUGGUGUUUGUGCUAGUUAUGAAAGUUGUAGAGCUUGAUGAGAGGAAGAUGCUGUUAAAAUUUCAUAGGUUUUGGAGGUCGCCGGAAUUGACCUCCGGCCGCCGCUGCCGGCGGAGCCGCCGGCGGCGCCGCCGCCGGUUGGGAGAUUUUAAUGUUGUUAAAUUUGGAAUAUUAAGGGGAGUUUAUUGAAGUGAGUUAUGGAAUUUUUGGAUGAGUUUUGGAUAGGUUUAUAAAUUUCCAAAGUGUGGUAUUUUUGGCGGGUAAUUAAUGUAGAAUCCGGCCGUUGGAUUUAAGUCGUAUUUCGGAGAGGUUGUAUUUACGACUAUUGAGUAUGAUAUUUAAGUUCGGAUCGUCCGAUGUAAGAAUAUCGAAGUUAGGCAAUAAUGAGCGUAAUUAUGGCUCUCGGGUAAUUUUGCCUAUUUUGAUUAAAUAUUGGAUAUUGGUUGGGAAAUUAAUAUUAUAUUUGGAACAGGACGUGAAGAGGCUCGAGCAGACGAGACCCCAGAUUGACAUCAGGCUUAGGCCUAAUUCGUGAGUGGACGUUUAUUUUAAAUAAAUGCAUGCUAUAGUUCAUGGUUGAACAAUUAAUAUUGCGGAAUAUUUUAACGUCAUUUUAAUUUGACGAU
This 1099-nucleotide long non-coding RNA is filed under the name Fragaria vesca (wild strawberry). RNAcentral describes it as "long non-coding RNA (FVES_LNC005297)". Lineage: Eukaryota; Viridiplantae; Streptophyta; Magnoliopsida; Rosales; Rosaceae. The record is from RNAcentral.